Bactrocera oleae (olive fruit fly) is the source of this 462-nucleotide long non-coding RNA. RefSeq lists it as uncharacterized. NCBI's taxonomy places the organism in Eukaryota, Metazoa, Arthropoda, Insecta, Diptera, Tephritidae. The record is from RefSeq and is a predicted model, not a curated record.
ACCCACAUUUGUAACAAAAAGUUUAGAAAAAUAACAAAAAUAAUGCAAAGUAAAUUUUCACUCAAAAUGUUUAACGCAAAUGAAAGAAAUUUUAAUUAAAUCGGAGACAGAUAGUUUCUAGUAGUUGUGUGGAUAUCUAAAUUUUUAAUCAAAAAGCAAAGCUUUUAAUUAACUUGAAAUGCUUGAAGCGUGGCAGCGUGCAGUCAAAUCGGAAACCAAUAUACACCCAUUUACAUGGUUUGAAUGAGUGCGUGCUUUAAGCAAUUUCUGCAAUGCGAUCUACAAGUAUUUAGAUUCUCCAGAAAUAACACUGGUGACUACUCGUGGUUAAAUAGUGAAUAGUGCUUAAUAUUGAAUAUAACGGAUGAUCCAAGACUUACGCCUAAACAAUGUUUACAAAUCGUUCAACUUUAUUACGAAAAUUCAAGUUCUAUCAAGAAUGUGUUUCGCGCACUUCACUCA